UCUUGACUAGUAUAUCGGUUAGUACACGCGCUUGUCAUGCGAAUGCCAUUGCAUAAUCGCGCGCGAAAGCUGGGUUCGACUCCCAGGUCGAGAG
Non-coding RNA from Mycena olivaceomarginata, 94 nucleotides. Lineage: Eukaryota; Fungi; Basidiomycota; Agaricomycetes; Agaricales; Mycenaceae. The record is from the annotation of a GenBank genome assembly.